CAGCCGCCGCGGGAAUACAGAGGAUGCAAGCGUUAUCCGGAAUGAUUGGGCGUAAAGCGUCUGUAGGUGGCUUUUCAAGUCCGCCGUCAAAUCCCAGGGCUCAACCCUGGACAGGCGGUGGAAACUACCAAGCUGGAGUACGGUAGGGGCAGAGGGAAUUUCCAGUGGAGCGGUGAAAUGCGUUGAGAUCGAAAAGAACACCAACAGCGAAAGCACUCUGCUGGGACGACACUGACACUAAGAGACGAAAGCUAGGGGAGCAAAUGGGAUUAGAUACCCCUGUAGUCCCUGUCUCUUAUAA
Molecule: ribosomal RNA, 301 nt
Filed under: uncultured bacterium
Lineage: Bacteria
Description: partial 16S ribosomal RNA
Rfam family: Bacterial small subunit ribosomal RNA
Source: RNAcentral